Ornithorhynchus anatinus (platypus) is the source of this 72-nucleotide non-coding RNA. NCBI's taxonomy places the organism in Eukaryota, Metazoa, Chordata, Mammalia, Monotremata, Ornithorhynchidae. The record is from Rfam.
AGCAGCAUGGCUUAGUGGAAAGAGCACAGGCUUGGGAGUCAGAGGAUGUGGGUUCUAAUCCCAUCUCUGCCA